This is an RNA transcript of Lolium perenne, 2202 nucleotides long. RefSeq lists it as uncharacterized. NCBI's taxonomy places the organism in Eukaryota, Viridiplantae, Streptophyta, Magnoliopsida, Poales, Poaceae. The record is from RefSeq and is a predicted model, not a curated record.
CAUAUCCGCGCGCCCCUGCGAAAUGAAUUUUUACUAAGUAAACGCAUCUCCCCUCGCUGCCACGCAGUCACGCACCCUCCUCUUCUCCAACUCGAUGACCUAACCCUAGAGGUGUUCCCCACCGCCGCCGCUCGCGCAGCCUCCUCUCCAGAUCCCAGCAAUCCCCAUCAUCUUGCCCACUGCAUCUGGCGUCGACCGGAUCCGUUCGCUCAGCGUGCCGCCGUGGGUUAUGGAGUACCCCGCGAGCUCCAUGUCUGAGUGCCCAUCCAGAGCUCGACGCAGAGACGUUCUCAUCCCCUCUCUCCGGCGAGGCACUCGACGAGGUAGAUGUCCCCGCGGCUGUCCCACUCGCAGUGCUGCACGGCCCCGCGCAGCCGCAGAGCACGGCUACAGCUCAUGGUCGCGCUCACGGUCCGCGGAACUAACCGCCGGCCUGCCUGCGUCCGUGCCUAGGUUUGAACGAACCCUAGGUGUGCUGAGGUGAGGUCCUCCGUCCCAUCUCCAGCCACCUUUGAUUCGAUUCGACCUGCAUCAGAGGAGGAUGGCUUCCGUCGGCCCGACAGUCGAGUACUCGAGUCCCUCAUCUACAGUACCCAUGGACGUGAGGGUGGAGCCUCAACGUAGCAUGGACGGGAUUUACGGGAGGUGAAGUGUGGAACCCUGCACUGAAUCAUCUUCAAACUGAAAUAUAAGGAGCACAAUAGUCGUGACAUAGUUGCGGAUGAGUGGGCGUGUGCCAAGGCAGGGUACAGACGUUGGGUUUGGGACGCGCAGGGAUGGGGCAAGGGGAAGGCUGCUGUGGCUGAUGCAGUAUGGGAUGUUCUUGCGAUAUUACUGUCUUGUGAUGGUGCAAGUAAAGAGAACCUUAUGUGCCAACACUUCUGUCAGUUCUUUUGCAACCGAUGUCGAGAAGGGCUUUGUGAAGAAGAGUAAGGCUGAGAAGGACCCGGACAAGCCCAAGUGCCCGUCGAGCGCCUUCUUAGUCUCUGUGACGGGUUCAGGAAGGUGUUAAAAUGAUUCGGCUCGCUCUUCUGUAAAAACAAAAUCCUAACAUUGAAUAAGUUUAUGGCAUUUAAUUUAUACCAACCUUUUAGUAAAAUCCUAACUAUUCACCUUCAUUUUGUGGAGAUAGAAUACCUACUUGUUGAAAUGUAUAGUCAUUUAGAAUUUGCAACAUAGUUUGCACUAUAAAGAAAACAAUUAAAUUCAAUCUGCAAGGGGUCUGACUAUUUACUUCUUGACUUAAAGUGAGAGAAAGGGGUUCAGGAAGGUGUUAAAAAGUUUCGGCUCACUGUUCUGCAAAAACAAAAUCCUAAUACUGAAUAAGUUUAUGGUAUUUAAGUUCAACCAACCUUUUAAUACUGAAGGAGUAAAACUAUUCACCUUUAUUUUGCGGAGAUAGAAUACCUACUUGUUGAAAUGUAUAGUCAUUAUAAUUUGCAACAUAGUGUUCACUGUAAAGAAAACAUUUAAAUUCAAUCUGCAAGGGGUCUGACUAUUUACUUCUUGACUUAAAGUGAGAGAAUUAUUAUAGAGGGCUCUUCAUGACCGUUGAUAUGCAUUUCUUAUCUUUUAUUUCUAUUUUUCCAGUCAAGCUCUAUCUGGGAAUUUGACCAACAUGCUACUUGCAUUGUUGCAAAAUAUGAGGUUCCUUUUGGGCACCAUGCCUACCUUUGUCGAUUCCACCAUCAGUGAGAUGAUAGUCUUGUACUUUUGCUGUAACAGCUAUAUAGCUAAUGCUGUUGAAUAAUGUGAUAAUCUCAUCACUCAUGUACUGAUUUUUCAUUUCUUAGAUUGGAUACUUACUAUCGCUGGUGCAAUAGUGCUAGUUACAUCGGUACUGUGUCAGUUCCCCUUGCUCUGUGUGAGUACUUUGGAUGACCCCCUUUGCACAACAGAGGCAGUUCCUUGGGACAAAUGGAGGACACCCAACGGAAGCAUGAUGAUAGUUAAUACUGCCGUUCUGGUUGCCCAGUGUGCUGAAGGUCAUGUCAUAGUCCUGACUUAAUGGAGUCCUGAAUAUGGUUCAUAUGACAGGAGUAGCACCCUGGUUUGUGAUCGCUAUCAAAGGAGCUCAAGUCCGAAGAAGUUUAAAGUCACACUCUAGUUAUACUAUGAUUGUCAUUGUAUCUGUUAUGUAACUGACUGAAUCUGGCUGUUAUUUGAAAUACUAAGUGUGAAUUCUUUCUGUUCCGUUUUAAA